This 208-nucleotide ribosomal RNA is filed under the name uncultured bacterium. RNAcentral's name for it is "partial 16S ribosomal RNA". It matches the Rfam family "Bacterial small subunit ribosomal RNA", at positions 524 to 732 of the family's 1533-position model. The record is from RNAcentral.
UACGUAGGGCGCAAGCGUUGUCCGGAAUUAUUGGGCGUAAAGAGCUCGUAGGCGGCCUGUUACGUCUGCUGUGAAAUCCCGGGGCUUAACCCCGGGCGUGCAGUGGAUACGGGCAGGCUGGAGGCAGGCAGGGGAGAACGGAAUUCCCGGUGUAGCGGUGAAUGCGCAGAUAUCGGGAGGAACACCGGUGGCGAAGGCGGUUCUCUGG